UGCAGUCUGCCAGUCCCUGGCAAAAACUCCAAUUGUAAAGGGAGUUCAUGAAAACAGCAAAACUGACAACUCAGCUAAAAAAAUCGUAAGUUUAUAAGUACCAAACAAAAAUUGCAGUAUCAGAAAUUUGAACUUAGUAAUUCUCUCUAAGGUUCCAAAGAAAGUUGGAAAAUAAAAAAUGCACAGCAUAUGACAAAGGAAACAUGACAUGCAAAACAAACCAUAAGGGUUCUGCUUUCAGUUGUAUGUUAUGGUCUGAUAUUGUGUCAGAAUUUCAUCCAAACUCUGGUUCAACUUACAGAUAUCAAGUCAAACCACCAAAACCAAACCAUAAAUCUAUACCUCUUAAUGACUUUAUAGGCUAAUGUGGAACCAGGGGAAAAUACUAUGAAUAUCCCUUUGGCAGCAAAGUAGGGAUUACUAAGAAGCUUCUUGUGCUAGAACAAAUACUAAGCAAAGUUUCACAAUGCCUCUUGUCGGAAACUCAGAGAAAAGUGGCUAGUCUUGUUUGUUGUCUAUCGGUCCAAAUUGCAAUAACUAAGACUCUUAUCUGGCAAAGAGAAUUAAAGGCAAUCAAAAAAUAAGAAUUACUUGUGAUCAGCUUCAUAACUAGACUUCCCAGUGGGAAAGGGCAUUUCAUGCUACUAAACAUUCUAAUACAGUAUUCAAGUGACCUCGCACAUACACUUGCAUGAUACAUCCUUCAUGCUGCACAUGUCAUUUACUCGCGGAAUUCUUUUCUUAAAGAUAGUAAUCAUGGAUUUCGAGAUUUGGCAUAUAAAAUAAGCACAGUGCGAGCUAACAUAUUUUUAUAAGGAAACAAUACGAUCUAAAGAAACAACAAUAAUUUCUAUUUUUCUUCUAUCCUCCAUCAAUGUUUUAAUUUGCACACCUCUUUAAGUGAUUCGAGGCUUUAAAAUUUAACGUGUAUGGGAGCCAAUAUGAACUGAUGAAUCAUCUUUGCAUUAUUGUAUUCAGUAUGUACACACACACACACAUAUAUAUACACACACACCAGGAAACUCAAUAACCAAAAAGAAUUUCAAAAAGCACUUGUAAAAAAAAAGUAUAUUUUCCAAGUAAGUUGAACAAAAUCAACACAUUUUACAUGUCACUAGAAAACUGAUACUGAUCUUAAAUCCUUCGUAACCAAAAUAGUUCUGUAAUAUGGCCCUCAACUGAGAGACACCCUCCUAACCAGAAAUGUCUUCCAACAGACUAUCUUCAAAGCAAGUCAGUACUGAAAUUCAACAAAAUUCACGCAAAUGACAACUAUGCCUCAAUCCAAAACUAGUUAACUUAAGCUAUUCUAGAAGUUCUCUAAACCUAAAGGUACUCUAGGUUCUCUACUGAGACAAAUACUAAAACAAACUAAAAUAACUUCUGGCUAAACCAAAUUUCAUGCAGCGUACCAACACAACUUAGCCUCAAUCUCAAUUAAGAAACAGUAAAAACAAGAAUCUACUGUUGCUACUACUAGUAAGCCUCAAUCCCUAGUUGAGGAAAGCUUUAUGAAUACUCAAAGUCCGCAUUUUCAUUCCAAAAUACCAACAACCAAGUUGACCUUUUCAAGAUUAAUCCAAUAACAAACAGCACAACCAUCAAUCUUUUAUGAGGUUUUAAGCUUAAAUCCAAGUAAACUGAUAAAUGAUGAAAAGUGCAUAUUUUGAGUAUAUUUACAUAUUAAUUUAAGUGUGAGUCGGGGGAGUUUACAUGGUUUUCAAAGGGAAAUAUACUCAUUAUGUGUUUCUUAUGUGUAGGAAGAGUUUGGAUGAUAAAUAAUCAAAAGAUGACAAUUCGACACAAAAAGAAGAGAUGUAAAGAAUUGGGAGCUCGUCCAAUUUCGUGUGUGGCACGAAAAUGGAUGCGAAAAAGGAGAAAAAUGAAAGCACAAAACAGCGAAGGCACGGAUCGCUUCGUGAACUGGAAAAUUGCAAAAGCUGAGUCCGCGUCCAAGUUCGCGCGCUGCACUAAAGUUGACGCUCCCUCCAGCUCUCCUAUCCGAAGUUGGAUUGAAAACUUCCACCGCUCAUCAACCCUAGGUCAUAUAAAUACAUCCUAAAGCACCACUUUGAAGAGGGAGAAGACUUUAGGGAGGCAAGAACACACGAGGAGCAAGGAGAAGAAGGAUUCAACUCCAUGUUUUUUCCUCUUUCUUCCUCUAUUUUUAUUAUUGGUUAUGAAUUCUAGUAUUGUAGUUUUGCACUAUGUUGCUCGGACUCUCCGAAAAUAUCGAUGGGUGUGUAUCAAAUCCUCCAAAAACAGUGUAUUUUUGGAUGAUCCGACAUGGGUGCGGCAAUUGUUUUGGAGAGUCCGUGCAACAUAGGUUUUGCAUACCAUUAUGAAUAGCUAAUUUGUUAUCUAGGAUUUUGAUAAAAUCUUUUAUAGGAUAAACUCUUGUUAUGUUUUUAGAUAAUCGAGCUGUUAGAUUUCUCUACUUGUUCAACUACGUGUUUAUUGUGGUUGGUUGAAGAGCUCUCAAUCGACUGUGCCUAUUUAGUGUGUACUACUGGAGAGAGAGUGCAUAUUUACGUAGUUGUCAAACAACAUCACUCCUAUGUAUAUGAGGGAUCAAUACGGAGAGUUUAAAUGUGGGAUUAGGGAUAACGAAACCUUGGUGCGAUCCGAGUGAGCCAUACUUAGUGCCAGCUAACGUAAUUCGGGAGAAUAUGUCUAGUAAAUUAUGGUAGUUACUCGGUAGAGAAUUACGACACUCAGACCGCUCAUGAUCGGUAGAAAAUACUUAGACGAAAUUACAGAAGACGUGGCGGGAAGGAUUCUGACAAUUGGGGAAAUCAUAACUGGACCUCCUUAAUCUUUUCUCAGGCCCGUAGUAUCUUUAGCUGUUAAUCUACUACUUUAAUUAUUUAGUUAUUAGAUAUAAGAACCUUAAUAUUUAUAACUUAGGAAUUGUUUGAGCUUAUCUUCUUAGUGAUAGUCAACAACUGUAGCUAUCCUUAGUUCUCUGUGGGAUUCAAUUCCGAACUUGUAAACGGGAUUAUAUUUGCAACGACCGCUUAGUAGUUUAUAUAAGGGCAUAGUUGGCGUGACCAUAAAUCAUCACUCAAUAAUAUCCCUAAGCAAAGUGAGACCACAAUAAUAACAACAACAACAACAAUAAUGCCUGAUGUUGGCUAAAAAUCCAUGUUUUUAUAUGUAAAGUGCCUUGCACUUCGCCCUAUUCUUGUUAAUUCUAACGUGUUAUGGGACGACUCGAGCUUAAUUAUGGUGCUUAUAUGUGUAGGAGUCCAUCGGAAGUGAUUUGGAAAGAAUGUUUGCGAUUUGAAGUCAAACGGAAGAAUUUUGAGGGAUUAUGAGUUUGGUGUCCAUAAGGGUGCAUGGCACCAACUAAAACGCCGAUGGCAUCCAAGUAAAAAAAUGAAGAAAAGUGGGUGUCGGCAAAGGCAACAGGCAAAAAAUUUCAUAGUCCAGUUUGGCGCCUCGUCCCAGUUGUGCGCCCAACCGCGGGACUUCUUCUGUUUCUACUUGGAGAAGGUUAUUUCGGUCUUACACGUCUUUAACAAGUAUGAAAAGGUUUCUAAACCUAAUUUGUGGAGGUUGGACAUUAUUUGGAGGCAAGAACACCGUGUGGAGCAACUUUGGAGGUGAAAUACAUCAAGUUCUUCAUUCCUUCAUCCUUUCUUAGUAAUUUAUGUAUGCAAAACACUUGUGAGAUUUUUGUUAUGAUUGCGACCCUCUAUUUUUUAAGGUUGUGGUUGUCAUGAAUAUUGAAGUUUUAUAAUUACAUCUCAGUUAAUAUAAAUUAUCAUCUUUGGUUGUUUCUCUAAUUCUAGUUUCAAUUUGUGAAUUGCGUGGCCACCAAUUUACUCCACUAUCUUUGCUAUGCUUGGAAAAGAUAUGUUUAGAUUAGAGUAGAAUGAGAAAGAGAGUUUGUUUAUGAACUCAUGGCUCGGGGAAUGAUUUUGCGGUUAGGAUGGGAAUAUACCUAAUAGUCUUGCUCAUGUGAAUGUCGUAUUAUAUUUGUUAAUGACAUAUUCAAUACCAUAGGAAUAUAGGGUUGAUACAUUGCGGAUAGACGGAUAGUGUUGUGGGAAUAUGCUCUUUAUAUAAACAAUCCAGUCAACUAGCAACCAUAGAUAAUUCGGAUUAACAUAUGUAGCUACGAGCACAAUAGGAUUGAUAAAUCAAUCACAACUCUGGAAUCUUCAUCUCUUCUGUUUAAAUCCAAAUCACAAUCUCUUGCUUUGUUUUAAUUUAGUUUAUUACUUGUUUAAUUUUCCCAAAAGUAGAUUAGUAAAAAAACCAUUACUUUUUGAUUAACUUGAGCGGCCAAUUGAUUAAGUUAGCUUAGUUAACAAUUACUCUUAGUCUUGGGGGGUUCGAUAUCGACUUUCGAGUCACUUUAUUACUUGACGGCUAUGUAUACUUGCGUGUACUUGAGGAAUCAACAAGUUUUUGGCAUUGUUGUCAGUGAUUUAGCAAUUGAUUGUUUAAUUGAGUUAAAUUUUAUAAGUUUUCUACUCAAGUUUUGACCUUUUGAUUUACAUGAUCUAUCUCAGGUGCUUAUGGAGUGAAUAUCAAGGAAGAAGGAUAAGGGUAACGAUAAACUUGAACCCUUUGAGCACGAACCUGAACGAUUCCAUAAAAAUGAGAAAGCAACAAAAAAAGCCAAGGAGGCUAAAGAAGCAACAAGGGCGGCAGCACAGGUUAAGGAAAGCGAGAACCAACAAGCACCUGCUGGACUUCCACAACCUAUAAAAAUGGCAAAAAAUCAAGAAUUAUUGGUGAUCACAGCUGCAAGGUCUAGCCUUGCAAAUAUGACACAAGCCAUCGUUAAGCCAUUUUGAGCUAAAACAAUACAUGGUGCAACCGAUAUAAUCCCAAGGUCAAUAUGUCGGAUUGCUAUAUGAAGAUCCGCAGGGGCAUAUUCAGAACUUUUUGGAGAUCACGGAUACCUACAAUUUUCCAUAUGUCUCUUUGGAUUACGUCAGGCUAACAUUAUUUCCCUUUUCCCUGCGGGGGGAAGCUAAGGAGUGGUUACAAAAGGAGCAUGUGAUUCAAUCAGAACUUGGGAUGAGUUGGCAUAGAAAUUCUUGAUUAAAUUCUUCCCCUCUCAGAAGACAAAAUCGCUAAGAAGCCAGAUUUGUGGAUUCCAACAAAAGGAAGCGAAACUCUUCACCAAGCUUGGGAGGCGAUUUAAGAAGUUACUCAAAUACUGCUCACACCACGGUCAGAUAGAUGAGGCUGGUUUUGGGCUAUACUUUCACAGAAGGGUUACAUGAAGCUUCUAAAAUGUACAUAGACUCGGUUUCCGGAGGCAUGUGCAUGGAGAAACUAUACGGGGAAAUCUAGGCGUUGCUGAACAAUUAUACUGCAAAUGACCAGAACUAGUACGGUAAAAGAGAACCAAGUAGAACAAUCAGGCGUAAGACAAGUGGUAUAAUCGACAUAGAUGCCUUCACAACUUUGAAAGCCGAUGUAACCAAGAUAGCUAAUCAAGUUGGAAAGCUCUCAAGCACAAGUGCAACGGACGCCGCAUGUGCAACAAAUGAUAGUUUAUUAUGAGUUUUGUGGGGAAGGCCAAACGGGAGACCAAUGUCCUAUAAACCCUUAAUCCAUCUACUAUGUGGGGCAACAAACUAGAUGUCUGAUGAAUCAGAAUGCUCAGUAUGGUAACACAUACAAUCCGAAUUGGAGGAACCAUCCUAACUUUUUAUGGGAGGAAAUUAGAGCAACAACAGGCCUCAAUAUAACUACAAUAAGCCACCGAAAUCACCACAACAAGCAAAGGAAAGUAUGACCGAUAUGAUGAAUAGGCUCUUGCUCAAUAACCAAAAGAGAACGUUUGAUAAUCAACAACUGUAUACAAAGUUUAGAAAUCUAGAGAGGCAAUCAGGCAGAUGGCGAAUAAUCAAACACUAGAUAUGUGGGAGCUCUCCCAAGCAUACAGAAAAAAACCAUCAAGGCAAUGCAGUUACUUUGAGAAAUGGGAGAGAACUGGUAGAGGUACCUACGAAGAAAAAGUAGCCAUCUGGGCUCAAAGAGCAAAGAGUACCAAAACCCAUGGAGGUGACUGAGAAAAACAUACCAGAAUCUGAGCAUGUAGCAGAAAGGGUACCACCCCUUUUUCCUCAAAGGUUGGAAAAAGAAGAAUGAUGACCACAUGUUUCAUAAAUUCCUGGAUAUGCUGAAGCAGAUACAUUUGAACAUGAACAUCCUUUGGUGGACAUGCUCCUUGAUGUCCCAAAAUAUGCUAAAUGGACCUAGUGGCAAACAAAAGAAGGUCAACUGAGUUUGAGGCUUUUGCACUCAUGGAGUAGUGCACUUCUAGGAUCCAACAUAAGCUUCCGCAAAAGCUUAAGGAUCCAAGCAGCUUUACCUUUUGUGUGAGGAUUGACGAGGUUGAUAUGGGUAGAGCUCUAUGUGAUUUAGGUGCACGUAUAAAUUUGAUGCCAUUAUCAGUGUUCAAGCAUUAAGCUUAUGAGCUCAACAACCUACCAUGGUAAUAAUACAACUGGUUGAUAGAUCUUAUGCAUGUUGCUAAAAAUUGAAAGUUUAUAUCCCAGCAGACUUCAUCAUCUUGGACUAUGAGGCUAAUGAGCGAGUUCCUAUCAUCUUGGGACGAAGUUUUUUGGCCAGUGGAGAUGCAAUUAUCAAAGUUCGAGAAGGUAAGCUGAUCAUGAGGGGUGGACAAUGAAGAAGCAGUCUUUAAUGUGUUCUGAGUCAUUCAGUUGCCUCAUCAUUACGAGGAUUUUGCUAUGAUUUCUAUAGUGGAAGUAGACGAACCAUCCCUAGGAAUGAGUGGGUUUAAAGAUGAUGCACUAGAAAAAGCACUGAUAUUGUUCAAUCACGUGGAACUUGAAGAAGAGGUUGAGGAGAUGAUGCAUAUUCUGGAUGCAUUAUGUAAAUAUAUUAGAGAUGAACCAAAUUUCAGCCUCUAGAUAGGUCGAUUGGUGCCCCUCCCAAGCGUUCCAUUGAGGAGGCUCCGAAAUUGGAUAUUAAACCCUUACCCUCUCACUCUCAUCUUCAUUAUACAAUUGGGAAGUUCUAACACUUUACCCCUGAUUGUUUCUUCUCAUUUGUUUAACUUGCAGAAAGAGAAGCUGUAGAGGGUGCUAAAGGAGCACAAGCGCCCCAUUGGAUGGACAAUGUCUGACGUAAAGGGUAUUAGUUCUGACAUUCUGCAUGCACAAAAUACUCGUGGAAGAAGGACAUAAGUCUAACGUGUAACAUCAGCGCCGCCUAAAUCCGACCAUGAAAGAGGUGGUCGGAAAAGAAGUGAUUAAGUGGCUCGACGUAGGUGUUGUAUUUACUAUCUCCAACAAUAAGUGGGUAAGCCUUGUCCAAUGUGUACUUCAAAAGAGAAGUAUGAUUGUUGUAAUAAUGAACAAAAUAAAUUAAUCCCAACUAGGAUGGUAAUUGGUUGGCAAAUAUGCGUAGACUGCACAAAGCUGAAUACUGUUACACAUAAAGAUCACUUCCCCCUUUUCUUUAUUGAUCAAAUACUUGACAAGUUAGCCUAAUAGGAAUACUAUUGUUUCCUCAAUGGCUACUCGGGUUAAAAUCAAAUUGUUACUCGGAGGAUCAAGAGAAAACCACUUCUACAUGAUGGCACUUGUGCAUUUAAGAGAAUGUCAUUCUCGUUAUGUAAUGCACCUGCGACUUCUCAAAUGUGUAUGAUGGCAAUGUUCACCGAUAUGGUGGAACGAUUUGUUGAGGUCUUUAUGGAAAUGGUCCUUUUUUUAUGAAUGUUUAACCAAACUUGUUAAAGUGCUUACUAGGCGUGAGGAGACCAAUCUUAUGCUGAACUGGGAGAAGUGCCAUUUUACGGUGCGAAGGCAUAGUGUUGGGGCACAAGAUGUCCAAAGACGGGCUGGAGGUUGACAAGGCUAAGGUGGAAGCAAUUAAAAAGUUGCCACCACCAAUUUCCAUUAGGGGAGUUCAAAGUUUUCUAGAACAUGCAGGUUUCUAUCGCCGAUUCAUUAAUGAUUUCUCAAAAAUUUCAUUGCCAUUAUGCAGGUUGUAAGAAAAGGAUGUGUCGUUCAGGUUCGACGAUGCUUGUCGGAGAGAUGAAACAAAAGUUAGUGCACCAAUUAUAGUGGCUCCUGACUGGAAUGAACCAUUCGAGCUGAUACGUGAUUCCAACCGUGGUGCAACUGGGGCUGUGUUGGGCCAAAGGAAGAACAACGUGUUUCACUCCAUUUACUACGCAAGCAAGACUCUUAGUCCUGCUCAAAUAAAUAUAAUGUGACCGAAAAGGAGUUGCUUGCUGCAGUUUAGGCAUUUGAUAAAUUUCGCGCUUACUCGGUUGGCACCAAAGUCAUCAUCCAUACAGACCAUUCAGCCAUCAGGUAUUUGUUUGAAAAAAAAAAAGAUGCUAAACCCAUGCUUAUUCGUUAGCUUUUACUCUUGCAUGAAUUUGACUUGGAGAUCCGACACCUUAAAGAAACAGAUAAUCAAGUGGCCGAUCAAUGAGACCUUUCCAGAUGAGCAGUUGUUGCAGUCCAAACAAGUUCGGUUCGGCUAAAUAAAUCCUCACUGACCAUAUUACUCCAUUUAAAUCAUCUCAUGCCAGUAAUAAGCAAAUACAAAUAAUAAGUACUCGAAGUUAUGUAUAUUUUCUAAAAGUAAAUAUCUCGGAAAAGGUUAAAGCACUCCUAUAAAGCAUAGACCUACAGUAAAAGCGCUAAGUCUAAAACAUAUGCUCACUAAUAUCAAACCCAAAUAUAUCUUCCAACCAUUACUAAAAAUCCAAUAAUUUCACACAACAACCAUCCUGCAAUCCCACACUAGCAAGAAGUCUACAAUAUGAAUACUCAGUAUCCAUUUCCCUCCAUUUGAACUCCUUUCAUUCCAGUACUCAACAGCAACUUUCGACGAAACUCAAAAACAAAAAUGAAAACAGACUGAAUAUCAACACUACCAUAAUAACAACAAAAAUUAAAUCUUAGUCUAAAACAAGUUGGGGUCGGCUAUAUGAAUCCUCACUGACCAUGUUACUCCAUUUGACUAAUCGCAAUUCAUCAAAAUAACAAUGAACCAGAUAAAAAUGUGCAAAUAUGAUCCAAUAACACAUACAAGAAAAGGGAGUUUUAAUGUAGGGUGUUAGUACCUAAGACGCGUGCCGGAGGAAAAGGGAUUCAUGAUUGGUGAAAUUGCAGAAAAUCUGUCGAUCAGAUCCAGAAAGCGUACAGAUUAUUUUAACUGUUGUGUUUCUCUACAACUUGAUCAGCCUCAAAUAAUAAAUGGAGUUUUUAGGCUCCCGCCAUUACAGCUCAACAAAAUUGAGAUAUUUUGUGUGAGAUGAAAGGAAGAUUUUAUGGUUGGAGAUGAAAAUUGAAGGAUCUGAGAAGGAAUUCUGGGGUUCUUGGGAAAGGUUUGGAUCUGGAAAUCAAAAAAUAAAAUGAGAACAAGAACAGGACAGAGAGAGAGAAAAGGAAAAGAACGUAUUACAGAGUGGAAAAAUUAAGUUUAGUAUAGUAUUAUGUUUUUC
Molecule: long non-coding RNA, 9454 nt
Filed under: Nicotiana benthamiana
Lineage: Eukaryota; Viridiplantae; Streptophyta; Magnoliopsida; Solanales; Solanaceae
Description: long non-coding RNA (NBEN_LNC041014)
Source: RNAcentral